AUUGAACGCUGGCGGCAUGCUUUACACAUGCAAGUCGAACGGUAACAGGCCUUCGGGUGCUGACGAGUGGCGAACGGGUGAGUAAUGCAUCGGAACGUACCCAGAGGUGGGGGAUAACGCAGCGAAAGCUGUGCUAAUACCGCAUGUGAUCUGAGGAUGAAAGCGGGGGACCAGGCAGCAAUGUUUGGCCUCGCGCCUGUGGAGCGGCCGAUGUCAGAUUAGGUAGUUGGUGGGGUAAAGGCCUACCAAGCCGACGAUCUGUAGCUGGUCUGAGAGGACGACCAGCCACACUGGGACUGAGACACGGCCCAGACUCCUACGGGAGGCAGCAGUGGGGAAUUUUGGACAAUGGGCGCAAGCCUGAUCCAGCAAUGCCGCGUGCGGGAAGAAGGCCUUCGGGUUGUAAACCGCUUUUGUACGGAACGAAAAGGCUCUGGCUAAUACCUGGGGCUGAUGACGGUACCGUAAGAAUAAGCACCGGCUAACUACGUG
Molecule: ribosomal RNA, 492 nt
Filed under: uncultured bacterium
Lineage: Bacteria
Description: partial 16S ribosomal RNA
Rfam family: Bacterial small subunit ribosomal RNA
Source: RNAcentral